CUUGCGGGCUACUUCACCGUCACCAGCCCAUCUGUAGUAUUGUAGGGAUGGACAUAUGGAUUGAGUGGUACCCACCUGAAAGAUACACAUCUCAGCAGCCAAGAACUUCAAUAAAAAUGGAAGAGGUAUGAAAUUCUCAACUUAGGAAGGAACAUACAACCUGUAAUGUGUCGAUCACUAACUAAUAAACAGGAGCCUGAUGUUGGAAAGAAGCAACUGG
Triticum aestivum (bread wheat) is the source of this 220-nucleotide long non-coding RNA. RefSeq lists it as uncharacterized. The transcript has 3 exons. The record is from RefSeq and is a predicted model, not a curated record. NCBI's taxonomy places the organism in Eukaryota, Viridiplantae, Streptophyta, Magnoliopsida, Poales, Poaceae.